RNAcentral lists this ribosomal RNA (460 nucleotides) under uncultured bacterium. Its description in RNAcentral is "partial 16S ribosomal RNA". It matches the Rfam family "Bacterial small subunit ribosomal RNA", at positions 338 to 795 of the family's 1533-position model. The record is from RNAcentral.
CCUACGGGAGGCAGCAGUGAGGAAUAUUGGUCAAUGGCCGUAAGGCUGAACCAGCCAAGUCGCGUGAAGGAAGAAGGAUCUAUGGUUUGUAAACUUCUUUUAUAGGGGAAUAAAGGUAUCCACGUGUGGCUAUUUGCAUGUAACCCAUGAAUAAGCAUCGGCUAACUCCGUGCCAGCAGCCGCGGUAAUACGGAGGAUGCGAGCGUUAUCCGGAUUUUUUGGGUUUAAAGGGUGCGUAGGUUGUUUUUUAAGUCAGCGGUGAAAGUUUGUGGCUCAACCAUAAAAUUGCCGUUGAAACUGGAAGACUUGAGUGUGUUUGAGGUAGGCGGAAUGCGUGGUGUAGCGGUGAAAUGCAUAGAUAUCACGCAGAACUCCGAUUGCGAAGGCAGCUUACUAAGCCAUAACUGACACUGAAGCACGAAAGCGUGGGGAUCAAACAGGAUUAGAUACCCCAGUAGUC